GGUCGUCUAGUUCAGUUGGUAGAGCGUAAGGCUUUUAACUUUGUGGUUGUGGGUUCGAGCCCCACGGUGGGUG
Molecule: non-coding RNA, 73 nt
Organism: Zea mays
Lineage: Eukaryota; Viridiplantae; Streptophyta; Magnoliopsida; Poales; Poaceae
Source: Rfam